CAAAAUUCCUGCUGAGGCCUCACAACCCCUGUGUGCAAAGCAGAUGUCACACUGGGCGUGAUAAGACACCAGACAACUGAGCUUGACCCUGCUGGCCCCUCACCCUGCAAUCUUGACAGUAACCCCUGCUCACAUGCGUCCUCAUUCUCUUUCCUCCUCUCCACUCAACAUUCACCUCCACCCCGUCUCCUUGACCUCCUCACCAAGUGUUGUGUGCACACCUAUCCCUUCUCCAACAGGAGGAGCCUGCUACUCUAAUCCAAUGCCCAGCACCAGAGGGCAUUACUUCAUCACCACCAUCAUUGUCCGUAUCGUCGCCCUCAUCAUUAGUUAUAAAUCUCAUCAUCAACCUUCUGUGUGUCAGGCCCCAUCACAGCUAAGUCUCAGGACACAGGGUGCCCCAACCAAACCAGGUGUGAAUUCUCCGUGGAUGAAGAGAGCAACAACACCUGAGAAGCAGAGCAGAUUGACACAGUGCAGCUCCCUAACACUCAGUUUCUCCUUUGUGGAGAAGAGUAGAUGCCAUUUGCACCACCACACAGGCAGCCAAUACACCUUUAUGUCGUCAUCCUCUAAGAACUCUAUGUAUCCACACCUCCCCUCAAGAUCCAUCUCUCCACCCCUGGAAACCAUGCUUCGGUUCUAGCUGAAAGGGCCUACGCCAAGUUGUAGCAGCCAGCCUCAUCUGCAAGCAGAUUCGCAGUGAAAGUGCUGACAUACUGAACAACCACAUAAACAGCUGCUGCUAAUGACUGUCACCACUGACUAAUGCCCAGGAAGAUAAGCACAACUAUGCUAUUCAAAUCUGUUCUUCAGUAUUAAGGAAUCAUCUAUAUUAUGAAAUUAUUACUAUAUUGCUACUAUGCUGAGAUGUUCAGUGUCAAAUUGCCACUGAUUUAUACUCUCAUAGUCAUAAGGAAAGAGAAGUAACACCUAUAUCCAAAUGUGAAACAGAUUUUCCUCUCUUUAUAAGGGCAGCAUUUUCACCACGUGCUAACUAAAUGGAGUGAUAUGAUAAAUCAAAAUUGCUGAAGUAUUAUUUUGUACUAAAAGAACAUCGACUAUUGUUUCUGUACAAUCACUACUGCUCAGCACUUUCAUCCUCCUCCCUAACAAGAGCCAAGAACUGCAGGGCCACAAGCACGACGCUGUCUGAACCCUGGGGACAUUUAUCCUUCAGAAGUCAGUGAAAAUGCACAGAGAAUCACUUUGAGGCAAGGAGUGUGCUGAGAACCCGCGUGUUCCUGCUCUGACGUUCAGCUCUCCACUUCACAGGCUCCUCCUCCUUCAUCCUGCACACACUGGUCUCUCUCCCAGGUCAGUCUGCAGCCGCUGAAUAAAUUACACAACCUCCCUGACUUCAAGCCUCUCUGACAAAUUGUUGUAAAGAUUAAAUGACACAUGGUGUAGAGGCCACCUAGAGAAACCCUCUCAGUAAGUGUCAGUUCUCUUUUCCAACUCUGUCCCCAUUUCCACCUUCUCCCCAAACAACCUCCG
Long non-coding RNA from Cavia porcellus (domestic guinea pig), 1497 nucleotides. RefSeq lists it as uncharacterized. The transcript is spliced from 3 exons. Lineage: Eukaryota; Metazoa; Chordata; Mammalia; Rodentia; Caviidae. The record is from RefSeq and is a predicted model, not a curated record.